RNAcentral lists this ribosomal RNA (712 nucleotides) under uncultured Serratia sp. RNAcentral describes it as "bacterial SSU rRNA". It matches the Rfam family "Bacterial small subunit ribosomal RNA", at positions 768 to 1480 of the family's 1533-position model. The record is from RNAcentral. Lineage: Bacteria; Pseudomonadati; Pseudomonadota; Gammaproteobacteria; Enterobacterales; Yersiniaceae.
GCGAACGGGAUUAGAUACCCUGGUAGUCCACGCUGUAAACGAUGUCGACUUGGAGGUUGUGCCCUUGAGGCGUGGCUUCCGGAGCUAACGCGUUAAAUCGACCGCCUGGGGAGUACGGCCGCAAGGUUAAAACUCAAAUGAAUUGACGGGGGCCCGCACAAGCGGUGGAGCAUGUGGUUUAAUUCGAUGCAACGCGAAGAACCUUACCUACUCUUGACAUCCAGAGAACUUAGCAGAGAUGCUUUGGUGCCUUCGGGAACUCUGAGACAGGUGCUGCAUGGCUGUCGUCAGCUCGUGUUGUGAAAUGUUGGGUUAAGUCCCGCAACGAGCGCAACCCUUAUCCUUUGUUGCCAGCGGUUCGGCCGGGAACUCAAAGGAGACUGCCAGUGAUAAACUGGAGGAAGGUGGGGAUGACGUCAAGUCAUCAUGGCCCUUACGAGUAGGGCUACACACGUGCUACAAUGGCAUAUACAAAGAGAAGCGACCUCGCGAGAGCAAGCGGACCUCAUAAAGUAUGUCGUAGUCCGGAUUGGAGUCUGCAACUCGACUCCAUGAAGUCGGAAUCGCUAGUAAUCGUAGAUCAGAAUGCUACGGUGAAUACGUUCCCGGGCCUUGUACACACCGCCCGUCACACCAUGGGAGUGGGUUGCAAAAGAAGUAGGUAGCUUAACCUUCGGGAGGGCGCUUACCACUUUGUGAUUCAUGACUGGGG